Molecule: long non-coding RNA, 432 nt
Organism: Salvelinus sp. IW2-2015
Lineage: Eukaryota; Metazoa; Chordata; Actinopteri; Salmoniformes; Salmonidae
Source: RefSeq, a predicted model, not a curated record
UAUAAAGSCCCUCCCCUUUCUUCGUCACGUCCUCUUUCAAUUUGGUGUCUUCGCUGUAGAGACACAUCUCCACAAGAUGAGAGCAAAGUGGAGGAAGAAGCGUAUGCGCAGGCUGAAGCGUAAAAGGCGAAAGAUGAGGCAGAGGUCCAAGUAGACUGGCCCAUUCCCCUACUGCUGUGAUUCUUUUUCUCCACCCACUCAAGCCCUCCGUUUGAAGCCAGCGGUCCACGAUUUGCAAAGAGCUGAACCAUGGUCGUCUGAAGCCGGUCUCAUUGGUGUGAAGGACAGAUCCUGCCUACCCAGCCCUCUGCCAAUGGCGACUGGCCGUUGACUACUGCUAGAAUCUCUCCUGUCGUUGAACUCUGGCCUUUUACCACCUGCACAGCUGAUUUGUUGUCAAGACCAUAAUAAAUAUUUGGUUUACUAACUACA